RNAcentral lists this ribosomal RNA (542 nucleotides) under uncultured bacterium. RNAcentral's name for it is "partial 16S ribosomal RNA". It matches the Rfam family "Bacterial small subunit ribosomal RNA", at positions 355 to 888 of the family's 1533-position model. The record is from RNAcentral.
UGGGGAAUAUUGGACAAUGGGCGCAAGCCUGAUCCAGCAAUGCCGCGUGUGUGAAGAAGGCCUUCGGGUUGUAAAGCACUUUUAUCAGGAGCGAAACGCUGUCGGCUAAUACCCGGCGGAACUGACGGUACCUGAGGAAUAAGCACCGGCUAACUUCGUGCCAGCAGCCGCGGUAAUCGAAGGGUGCAAGCGUUAAUCGGAAUUACUGGGCGUAAAGCGUGCGUAGGCGGUUUCUUAAGUCUGCUGUGAAAUCCCCGGGCUCAACCUGGGAAUGGCAGUGGAUACCGGGAGGCUAGAGUGUGUCAGAGGGUGGUGGAAUUCCCGGUGUAGCGGUGAAAUGCGCAGAGAUCGGGAGGAACAUCAGUGGCGAAGGCGGCCACCUGGGACAACACUGACGCUGAGGCACGAAAGCGUGGGGAGCAAACAGGAUUAGAUACCCUGGUAGUCCACGCCCUAAACGAUGCGAACUGGAUGUUGGUCUCAACUCGGAGAUCAGUGUCGAAGCUAACGCGUUAAGUUCGCCGCCUGGGGGAGUACGGUCG